AUUAAAAUACGGUUCAGAAAAUUAGCGUGUAGUGCUCGAUUCGAUUUUCCACCGAUUAAGGAUUAGUUCGGUAGGAUUAUACCUUUGGCGACAGUUGCCAGAUUGUAGUCGCAAAGUGAGUCAUAGCGUGAAAUCCAUCGUCGCAGUCUGUCCAGUCUGUGGUCCAGUAGGUCCUUCCGACAAAUCCUGAAAAGAAAAGCCACUAGGUAGAGGUUAGUGUGUGGCACAGCAGGUGCGCAAGAUAUAUAGGCCCACCGAAUUUUGAAGCUCAAUACACAAAGCUAUCAGAACCGGUUUGUGUUUUUCCUUUGCGCCCUGCCAGCCUCGACAAAUCUUCAAAAUUCGUGGCAACAUGGAAGACAGCGCGACCGAUGGCCACGAGGAAUACAACUGUGUGGCCUGCCAACGGCCAGAUAGUGCGGACAACAUGGUCCAGUGCGACCAGUGCGACGUCUGGAAGCAUUACGCCUGCGCCGAGGUGAAUGAGAGCAUCCGGGAUCGAUCCUUCUUGUGUGGUGAUUGCACCGCGCAUGCCGCACACCAGAGU
Molecule: long non-coding RNA, 547 nt
Organism: Armigeres subalbatus
Lineage: Eukaryota; Metazoa; Arthropoda; Insecta; Diptera; Culicidae
Exons: 4
Source: RefSeq, a predicted model, not a curated record